Molecule: ribosomal RNA, 577 nt
Filed under: Car cf. condensatus MB-2015
Lineage: Eukaryota; Metazoa; Arthropoda; Insecta; Coleoptera; Caridae
Description: SSU rRNA
Rfam family: Eukaryotic small subunit ribosomal RNA
Source: RNAcentral
GUCAUAUGCUUGUCUCAAAGAUUAAGCCAUGCAUGUCUCAGUACAAGCCAAAUUAAGGUGAAACCGCGAAAGGCUCAUUAAAUCAGUUAUGGUUCCUUAGAUCGUACCCACAAUUACUUGGAUAACUGUGGUAAUUCUAGAGCUAAUACAUGCAAACAGAGCUCCGACCGGAGACGGAAGGAGUGCUUUUAUUAGAUCAAAACCAAUCGGUGGCGGGCUUGCUCGUCAUCGUACAACUUGGUGACUCUGAAUAACUUUACGCUGAUCGCACGGUCUCGCACCGGCGACGCAUCUUUCAAAUGUCUGCCUUAUCAACUGUCGAUGGUAGGUUCUGCGCCUACCAUGGUUGUAACGGGUAACGGGGAAUCAGGGUUCGAUUCCGGAGAGGGAGCCUGAGAAACGGCUACCACAUCCAAGGAAGGCAGCAGGCGCGCAAAUUACCCACUCCCGGCACGGGGAGGUAGUGACGAAAAAUAACGAUACGGGACUCAUCCGAGGCCCCGUAAUCGGAAUGAGUACACUCUAAACCCUUUAACGAGGAUCAAUUGGAGGGCAAGUCUGGUGCCAGCAGCCGCGG